AAUAUUGGACAAUGUGUGCAACCCUGAUCCAGCCAUGCCGCGUGAGUUAUGAAGGCCUUAUGUUUGUAAAGCUCUUUCAGUGGGGAAAAUAAUGACGGUACCCACACACGCAGCCCCUGCUAACUUCGUGCCAUCAGCCGCGGUAAUACGAAGGGGGCUAGCGUUGUUCGGAUUUACUGGGCGUAAAGCGCACGUAGGCGGAUUGGUCAGUUAGGGGUGAAAUCCCGGAGCUCAACUCCGGAACUGCCUUUAAUACUGCCAGUCUAGAGUCCGAGAGAGGUGAGUGGAACUCCUAGUGUAGAGGUGGAAUUCGUAGAUAUUAGGAAGAACACCAGUGGCGAAGGCGGCUCACUGGCUCGGUACUGACGCUGAGGUGCGAAAGCGUGGGGAGCAAAC
Molecule: ribosomal RNA, 396 nt
Filed under: uncultured bacterium
Lineage: Bacteria
Description: partial 16S ribosomal RNA
Rfam family: Bacterial small subunit ribosomal RNA
Source: RNAcentral